GGAGAGGUGGCUCAGCGGUUAAGAGCACUGACUGCUUUUCGGAAGGUCCUGAGUUCAAAUCCCAGCAACCUCA
Molecule: transfer RNA, 73 nt
Filed under: Mus musculus (house mouse)
Lineage: Eukaryota; Metazoa; Chordata; Mammalia; Rodentia; Muridae
Description: tRNA-Ser
Source: RNAcentral